Molecule: ribosomal RNA, 316 nt
Filed under: uncultured bacterium
Lineage: Bacteria
Description: bacterial SSU rRNA
Rfam family: Bacterial small subunit ribosomal RNA
Source: RNAcentral
UGCAAGUCGAACGGUUUUUCAGGUGUAGCAAUACAUUUGAAAAGCAGUGGCGAACGGGUGCGUAACACGUGAACAAUCUACCUUUUAGUGUGGAAUAGCUCGGCGAAAGCCGGAUUAAUACCGCAUGUGGUUGGUUCUCUCCUGAGAGCCAUACUAAAGUCAGGGACCGCAAGGCCUGACGCUAUUAGAGGAGUUCGCGGCCUAUCAGCUAGUUGGCGAGGUAACGGCUCACCAAGGCUAAGACGGGUAGCUGAUCUGAGAGGAUGAUCAGCCACACUGGAACUGAGACACGGUCCAGACACCUACGGGUGCCAGC